Molecule: ribosomal RNA, 468 nt
Filed under: uncultured bacterium
Lineage: Bacteria
Description: partial 16S ribosomal RNA
Rfam family: Bacterial small subunit ribosomal RNA
Source: RNAcentral
GACGAACGCUGGCGGCGUGCUUAACACAUGCAAGUCGAACGGAAAGGCCCUGCUUUUGUGGGGUGCUCGAGUGGCGAACGUGUGUGUAACACGUGAUUCACCUGCCCUUGUCUUUGUGAUAACUUCAGGUAACUGGGGCUAAUACCGGAUAUGAGCUCCUGCUGCAUGGUGGGCCUUGGAAAGUUUCGGCUGUUGGGGAUGGACUCGCAGCUUAUCAGCUUGUUGGUGGGGUAGUGGCUUACCAAGGCUUUGACGGAUAGACGGAAUGAGAGGGUGAACAGGGACAUUGGGACGGAGAGACGGAGCAGACGCCUACGGGAGGCAGCAGUGGGGAAAAUUGCACAAUGGGAGGAAGACUGAUGCAACAAAGCAGCGGGCGGGAAGAAGGCCUUCGGGGUGUAAACCGCAUGAGGCUGUGACGAAGCGUGAGUGACGGUAAUGGGUAAAGAAGCAACGGCUAACUACGUG